CCUACGGGAGGCAGCAGUGGGGAAUUUUCCGCAAUGGGCGAAAGCCUGACGGAGCAACGCCGCGUGAGGGAAUAAAGUCUUUGGAUUGUAAACCUCUUUUCUCAGGGAAGAAGUCAGUGACGGUACCUGAGGAAUCAGCAUCGGCUAACUCCGUGCCAGCAGCCGCGGUAAUACGGAGGAUGCAAGCGUUAUCCGGAUUUAUUGGGCGUAAAGCGUUCGUAGGCGGUUUUAUAAGUCUGCUGUCAAAGUGCGGAGCUCAACUCCGUAAGAGCAGUGGAAACUGUGAGACUAGAGUGUGGUAGGGGUAGAGGGAAUUCCCAGUGUAGCGGUGAAAUGCGUAGAUAUUGGGAAGAACACCGGUGGCGAAAGCGCUCUACUGGACCACAACUGACGCUGAGGGACGAAAGCUAGGGGAGCGAAAGGGAUUAGAUACCCCUGUAGUCCUAGCCGUAAACGAUGAACACUAGGUGUUGUCUGUAUCGACCCGGACAGUGCCGAAGCAAACGCGUUAAGUGUUCCGCCUGGGGAGUACGCACGCAAGUGUGAAACUCAAAUGAAUUGACGG
RNAcentral lists this ribosomal RNA (565 nucleotides) under uncultured bacterium. RNAcentral describes it as "bacterial SSU rRNA". It matches the Rfam family "Bacterial small subunit ribosomal RNA", at positions 338 to 916 of the family's 1533-position model. The record is from RNAcentral.